AUUGAACGCUGGCGGCAUGCUUUACACAUGCAAGUCGAACGGCAGCGCAGUCUUCGGCCUCGCUUCCGGGGGCGAACUGGUGGGUAAUGCAUCGGAACAUGCCCAUUUGUGUGGUCUAGCGCGACGACAGCCGGAUUCAUACCGCAUUCGACCUUAGGAUGUACGCGGGGGAGCAAAAGACCUCGCGCUAUUGGACCAGCCGAUGUCGGAUUAGCUAGUUGGUGGGGUAAAGGCUUACCAAGGCGACGAUCCGUAGCUGGUCUGAGAGGACGACCAGCCACACUGGGACUGAGACACGGCCCAGACUCCUACGGGAGGCAGCAGUGGGGAAUAUUGGACAAUGGGGGCAACCCUGAUCCAGCCAUGCCGCGUGCGGGAAGAAGGCCUUCGGGUUGUAAACCGCUUUUGUUCGGGAAGAAAUCCUGUGGGCUAAUACCCCGGGGGGAUGACGGUACCGGAAGAAUAAGCACCGGCUAACUACGUG
RNAcentral lists this ribosomal RNA (484 nucleotides) under uncultured bacterium. Its description in RNAcentral is "partial 16S ribosomal RNA". It matches the Rfam family "Bacterial small subunit ribosomal RNA", at positions 30 to 507 of the family's 1533-position model. The record is from RNAcentral.